UAUCAUUGAUGUAUAUUGAGAUGCAAGUAUAGAGAGUUUAGAGUUUAGGAUUUAGGUUGUAAUAAUGGUACUUAGUCGGUGUUUGUGGUUUAAUAAUAAAAUUUAAGGAUAAUUGUUUAUAUACCGCUCAAAACUUCGAAAAAUAUCUCAUUUAUUCCUUUUUUUUUUUCUCUCCAAUAUACUUUUCAUACUUUCCUAUGUUAUUAUAAAAAAUAUCUCUACAGUUAUCACCCAUUAAGUUAAUUAGGAUUAAACGUGCGUUAAAUAUCUACCGGAGUUAAAACAAAAAAAAAAACCUCUUUUGCCCUUAAUUUAAAGACAAAUAAAAAAUAUUGAUAAUGGUAAAAGGGUAUAUUUGAAAAGAUCAAAAAAUAAAAUACUUUUUGUACCACUAACUUAAGGGCAAAUAAGAAAAGUUGGUGAUGGUAGAAAGGUAUAUUUGAAAAGACAAAGUAGUAAUUUUAUAGAGAUAAUAGUUAUUGCUAAUAGUUUAUUAACUGAAUUUAAUUCUAAAAAUAUAUUAGGAAUAGGUUGAAACGUAAAAAAGUUAUUUUCAAUAUUAGCCUUCUAAGAAGGAUAAAUUAGAAAAUCGAAAAUUUUUCAGAAGUAUAUAAACAAUCGCUCCAAAAUUUAAAGUAUAAAUACUUAAUAUAAUCUAAUAUUUACACCUUCUAAUAUUAUUGAUGUAUUGAGAUGCAUAUAUAGAGAGUUCAGAGUUUAGGAUUUAGGGUGUAAUAAUGGUACUUAGGAUAUAGUGAUGGUGUAUGUGGUUUAAUAAUAAAAUUUAAAGUAUAAUAAUGAUGAUGCCAUAUUAUCUACAAUAUUAUAGGGGACUCUAGAUGGGGUACCCAUAACAAUGCUCUUUUUAUAAGUAAAUGAAUAAUGUCUUAUGUGUUUCCGAGUCCUACUUGAAAAACUUAAGGGCUUAAGUGUUGGCAGCCAAGCUCCAUUACUAGAAAAACUGGAGGGCUUAAGUGUUGGCAGCCAAGCUCCACCACUAGAAAAACUGGAGGGCUCAUAGAGGCGGUUGUUGUAACCGCCUCUGCACUAUAAGUUAGAAUCACAUUAGAGGCGGUUUAAUACAACCGUCUCUAUAUCUAAAACAAAAAUUCUAAAUUUUUCCCUUCCCCCCGAACUCUGCCCAUUCCAUCUUCUCCAAAAGAAAAACCCUAAUUAAUUUCCCCCAAAACAAAUUCUCCAAUGGGUUUUUUUAGUGCAAUAGUCUUCUUCUAAAAUUUUAUUCUAAAAAUAUACCUGUUAAAUUUUUAUUUAUAAAUAUGGUCCCAUAAAAGCGGUGAAUGGUUCACUGCUUUUAAAAACGGUGAACUAUUCACCGCAUUCUUUCUUUUUUUUUUACUUCUUUUUUAUAUUUCUACGAUGGUAAAAGCGGUGAAUGGUUCACCGUCUAUAUUCAUUUUCUAUUCCUAAAAAGAAGUAAAGAAUGUAAUGAAUCAUUCACCGCAUUUAGAGAUCUAUUUUUAUAAUUUUGACUAGACAUGCAGUAAACACCAUCUUUU
RNAcentral lists this long non-coding RNA (1517 nucleotides) under Ananas comosus (pineapple). Its description in RNAcentral is "long non-coding RNA (ACOM_LNC009370)". The record is from RNAcentral. Lineage: Eukaryota; Viridiplantae; Streptophyta; Magnoliopsida; Poales; Bromeliaceae.